CAGCCGCCACGGUAAUACGAAGGGGGCUAGCGUUGCUCGGAAUGACUGGGCGUAAAGGGCGCGUAGGCGGAUUGUUUAGUUAGGCGUGAAAUUCCCGGGCUUAACCUGGGGACUGCGCUUAAUACAGGCAGUCUAGAGUGAGGAAGAGGGUUGUGGAAUUCCCAGUGUAGAGGUGAAAUUCGUAGAUAUUGGGAAGAACACCGGUGGCGAAGGCGGCAACCUGGUCCUUGACUGACGCUGAGGCGCGAAAGCGUGGGGAGCAAACAGGAUUAGAGACCCCUGUAGUCCCUGUCUCUUAUAC
RNAcentral lists this ribosomal RNA (301 nucleotides) under uncultured bacterium. RNAcentral's name for it is "partial 16S ribosomal RNA". It matches the Rfam family "Bacterial small subunit ribosomal RNA", at positions 509 to 807 of the family's 1533-position model. The record is from RNAcentral.